This 742-nucleotide ribosomal RNA is filed under the name uncultured bacterium. RNAcentral's name for it is "bacterial SSU rRNA". It matches the Rfam family "Bacterial small subunit ribosomal RNA", at positions 111 to 864 of the family's 1533-position model. The record is from RNAcentral.
UAACACGUGGGGUGACCUGCCCCCCCACUUCGGGAUUAAACCUGGGAAAACGGGUUCUAAUACCGGAUAGGACCGCACCGUGAGGGUGUGGGGAAAGUUUUUUCGGUGUGGGAUGGCCCCGCGGCCUAUCAGCUUGUUUGGUGGGGUAAUGGCCUACCAAGGCGGCGACGGGUAGCCGGCCUGAGAGGGUGGACGGCCACAUUGGGACUGAGACACGGCCCAGACUCCUACGGGAGGCAGCAGUGGGGAAUAUUGCACAAUGGGCGGAAGCCUGAUGCAGCGACGCCGCGUGGGGGAUGACGGCCUUCGGGUUGUAAACUCCUUUCACCAUCGACGAAGGUUUUCUGACGGUAGAUGGAGAAGAAGCACCGGCUAACUACGUGCCAGCAGCCGCGGUAAUACGUAGGGUGCGAGCGUUGUCCGGAAUUACUGGGCGUAAAGAGCUCGUAGGUGGUUUGUCGCGUCGUCUGUGAAAUUCCGGGGCUUAACUCCGGGCGUGCAGGCGAUACGGGCAUAACUUGAGUACUGUAGGGGAGACUGGAAUUCCUGGUGUAGCGGUGAAAUGCGCAGAUAUCAGGAGGAACACCGGUGGCGAAGGCGGGUCUCUGGGCAGUAACUGACGCUGAGGAGCGAAAGCAUGGGUAGCGAACAGGAUUAGAUACCCUGGUAGUCCAUGCCGUAAACGGUGGGCGCUAGGUGUAGGGGUCUUCCACGACUUCUGUGCCGUAGCUAACGCAUUAAG